This 429-nucleotide ribosomal RNA is filed under the name Pseudomonadota bacterium. RNAcentral describes it as "Proteobacteria bacterium partial 16S ribosomal RNA". It matches the Rfam family "Bacterial small subunit ribosomal RNA", at positions 355 to 776 of the family's 1533-position model. The record is from RNAcentral. Lineage: Bacteria; Pseudomonadati; Pseudomonadota.
UGGGGAAUAUUGGACAAUGGGCGAAAGCCUGAUCCAGCCAUGCCGCGUGUGUGAAGAAGGUCUUCGGAUUGUAAAGCACUUUAAGUUGGGAGGAAGGGCAGUAAGCGAAUACCUUGCUGUUUUGACGUUACUCGCAGAAUAAGCACCGGCUAACUCUGUGCCAGCAGCCGCGGUAAUACAGAGGGUGCGAGCGUUAAUCGGAUUUACUGGGCGUAAAGCGUGCGUAGGCGGCUAAUUGAGUCGGAUGUGAAAUCCCCGAGCUUAACUUGGGAAUUGCAUUCGAUACUGGUUAGCUAGAGUGUGGGAGAGGAUGGUAGAAUUCCAGGUGUAGCGGAGAAAUGCGUAGAGAUCUGGAGGAAUACCGAUGGCGAAGGCAGCCAUCUGGCCUAACACUGACGCUGAGGUACGAAAGCAUGGGGAGCAAACAGG